This 728-nucleotide ribosomal RNA is filed under the name Triadelphia heterospora. Its description in RNAcentral is "LSU rRNA". It matches the Rfam family "Eukaryotic large subunit ribosomal RNA", at positions 147 to 906 of the family's 3401-position model. The record is from RNAcentral. Lineage: Eukaryota; Fungi; Ascomycota; Sordariomycetes.
AAUUUGCAGAGGAUGCUUUGGGCGAGGCGCCGUCCGAGUUCCUUGGAACGGGACGCCGUAGAGGGUGAGAGCCCCGUACGGUCGGAUGCCGAGCCUCUGUAAAGCUCCUUCGACGAGUCGAGUAGUUUGGGAAUGCUGCUCUAAAUGGGAGGUAAAUCUCUUCUAAAGCUAAAUACUGGCCACAGACCGAUAGCGCACAAGUAGAGUGAUCGAAAGAUGAAAAGUACUUUGAAAAGAGAGUUAAACAGCACGUGAAAUUGUUGAAAGGGAAGCGCUUGUGACCAGACGUGUGUCGGGUGAAUCAGCUGGCGUUCGCGCCAGUGCACUUCGCCCGGCACAGGCCAGCAUCGGUUCGCCGCUGGGGAGAAAGACGGCGGGAAUGUGGCUCCUCGGAGUGUUAUAGCCCACCGUGUAAUACCCUCCGGCGGACCGAGGUUCGCGCUCCGCAAGGAUGCUGGCGUAAUGGUCAUCAGCGACCCGUCUUGAAACACGGACCAAGGAGUCGUCCUAGUAUGCGAGUGUUUGGGUGCCAAACCCCUACGCGAAAUGAAAGUGAACGGAGGUGAGAGCUUCGGCGCAUCAUCGACCGAUCCUGAUGUCUUCGGAUGGAUUUGAGUACGAGCAUACUGGGCCGGACCCGAAAGAAGGUGAACUAUGCCUGUAUAGGGUGAAGCCAGAGGAAACUCUGGUGGAGGCUCGCAGCGGUUCUGACGUGCAAAUCGAUCGUC